This 662-nucleotide ribosomal RNA is filed under the name uncultured bacterium. RNAcentral's name for it is "bacterial SSU rRNA". It matches the Rfam family "Bacterial small subunit ribosomal RNA", at positions 139 to 788 of the family's 1533-position model. The record is from RNAcentral.
GGGGAUAACACUUGGAAACAGGUGCUAAUACCGUAUAACACUAUUUUCCGCAUGGAAGAAAGUUGAAAGGCGCUUUUGCGCCACUGAUGGAUGGACCCGCGGUGCAUUAGCUAGUUGGUGAGGUAACGGCUCACCAAGGCCACGAUGCAUAGCCGACCUGAGAGGGUGAUCGGCCACACUGGGACUGAGACACGGCCCAGACUCCUACGGGAGGCAGCAGUAGGGAAUCUUCGGCAAUGGACGAAAGUCUGACCGAGCAACGCCGCGUGAGUGAAGAAGGUUUUCGGAUCGUAAAACUCUGUUGUUAGAGAAGAACAAGGAUGAGAGUAAAACGUUCAUCCCUUGACGGUAUCUAACCAGAAAGCCACGGCUAACUACGUGCCAGCAGCCGCGGUAAUACGUAGGUGGCAAGCGUUGUCCGGAUUUAUUGGGCGUAAAGCGAGCGCAGGCGGUUUCUUAAGUCUGAUGUGAAAGCCCCCGGCUCAACCGGGGAGGGUCAUUGGAAACUGGGAGACUUGAGUGCAGAAGAGGAGAGUGGAAUUCCAUGUGUAGCGGUGAAAUGCGUAGAUAUAUGGAGGAACACCAGUGGCGAAGGCGGCUCUCUGGUCUGUAACUGACGCUGAGGCUCGAAAGCGUGGGGAGCGAACAGGAUUAGAUACCCU